UUGAAUAAGCUUGGUUGGGAUGUUGCUGGCUCUUUUGGAGCAUGUGCACGCCUGACGACCAACUUUAUUACCACCUGUGCACCCUUUGUAGACUCGGAUACCUCUCGAGGAAACUCGGACUUUGAGGAUUGCUGUGCGCAAGCCGGCUUUCCUUUGCAUUUCCGGUCUAUGUUUUUAUAUACACACCAAGUAGGUUACAGAAUGUUAUUAAACAGGGCUUAAUUGCCUUUAAAUUUUAUA
RNAcentral lists this unclassified non-coding RNA (240 nucleotides) under uncultured Tricholoma. RNAcentral describes it as "sequence contains ITS1". The record is from RNAcentral. Lineage: Eukaryota; Fungi; Basidiomycota; Agaricomycetes; Agaricales; Tricholomataceae.